This 236-nucleotide ribosomal RNA is filed under the name Nephroselmis pyriformis. Its description in RNAcentral is "partial Bacterial large subunit ribosomal RNA". It matches the Rfam family "Bacterial large subunit ribosomal RNA", at positions 945 to 1177 of the family's 2925-position model. Lineage: Eukaryota; Viridiplantae; Chlorophyta; Nephroselmidophyceae; Nephroselmidales; Nephroselmidaceae. The record is from RNAcentral.
UCAGCCAAACUCCGAAUGCCGGUGUGAAGUGUUGUACAGCAGUGAGACUGUGGGGGAUAAGCUUCAUAGUCGAGAGGGAAACAGCCCAGACCACCAACUAAGGCCCCUAAGCGUGUGCUAAGUGGGAAAGGAUGUGGAGUUGCUUAGACAACCAGGAGGUUGGCUUAGAAGCAGCCAUCCUUGAAAGAGUGCGUAAUAGCUCACUGGUCGAGUGGUCCUGCGCCGACAAUGUAGUG